This 614-nucleotide ribosomal RNA is filed under the name uncultured fungus. RNAcentral describes it as "eukaryotic LSU rRNA". The stretch from base 195 to 348 matches the Rfam family "5.8S ribosomal RNA". The record is from RNAcentral. Lineage: Eukaryota; Fungi.
GGAAGGAUCAUUAACGAAUUGUAAAUGGAAGCUGAUGCUGGCAGUCCUUUCUCGAUUGCAUGUGCUCGCUUCUAACAAUCCUUAUCCAAACACUUGUGCACCUUUGAGAAGGGGGUCUCCCUUCUUAUUUACAUAUACACUACUUUUGCAAUGCUGAACGUGAUCUUGUGCCUUUAAGGCCUUAAUGUUAAUACAACUUUUAACAACGGAUCUCUUGGCUCUCGCAUCGAUGAAGAACGCAGCGAAAUGCGAUAAGUAAUGUGAAUUGCAGAAUUCAGUGAAUCAUCGAAUCUUUGAACGCACCUUGCGCCCCCCGGUAUUCCAGGGAGCACACCUGUUCGAGUGUCGUGAAAUUCUCAAGCUAGAUGCUUUUUCAUUGCUUGUAAAAGCCAUCUUAGCUUGGUUGUGGGCUUUGCCGUGCCCUCUCCAUUGAGGAACGGCUGGCCUUAAAAGCAUUAGCUGGCCCUAGUGUAGCAUUGGUUCUACUCAGCGUGAUAAUAAUUCUGACCGCUGAGGACAUCUUUCGGGAUGGCCAAAUCUUGCCUGGGUUGCUUCGAGCACUGGUUUACAGGUUUCUGAAUCUGUUCCACUAUCAAGUUUGACCUCGAAUCAGG